This 495-nucleotide unclassified non-coding RNA is filed under the name Hevea brasiliensis (rubber tree). Lineage: Eukaryota; Viridiplantae; Streptophyta; Magnoliopsida; Malpighiales; Euphorbiaceae. The record is from RNAcentral.
CAGCAUUGGCCAUCAUUGGUAGGCCAAUGACGACUUGAAUGAAGAAAUUUUGACUGCAAAUAUCUUCAUUAAUGGAAGAAAUGUUGAUUGUAAAUGCAGCAAUGACAUUGUUCAUAAUGUCAUGCUUUUCUNNNNNNNNNUUACUUGAGGGUUUGAAAAAAGUGCUGCAAUGUGGUUUUAUGGGAGCCAGAAAUGGUGGGCCAAUGAUGACUCUCAGAAGUUGAAGGAGAAAAAGAAAAAGAAAUAGAAAUAUAAAUAGAGUUGACUAAUUGUUGUCAGCUGGUCCAAGAGGACUUUGAGAGGAUAAGUGUUUUCCCAUUACACACAUGAUUUUUAAAACAAUUAAAAUAAGGAGCUGUUGGGACUGCUACCUCUAGUUUGGCCCAUUUCCUAGGUGCUGUUUCAAGGUCACACCUGGUUUUUGGACUUUUGUCCCCCACAUCAUUUUUGAAACUCAUAACUGUUGGCAAACCUGUGAGUAAUUAUGUUGGCUUU